Molecule: ribosomal RNA, 794 nt
Filed under: uncultured bacterium
Lineage: Bacteria
Description: bacterial SSU rRNA
Rfam family: Bacterial small subunit ribosomal RNA
Source: RNAcentral
GGGCGUAAAGAGCUCGUAGGCGGUUUGUCGCGUCUGCUGUGAAAUCCCGAGGCUCAACCUCGGGCCUGCAGUGGGUACGGGCAGACUAGAGUGCGGUAGGGGAGAUUGGAAUUCCUGGUGUAGCGGUGGAAUGCGCAGAUAUCAGGAGGAACACCGAUGGCGAAGGCAGAUCUCUGGGCCGUAACUGACGCUGAGGAGCGAAAGGGUGGGGAGCAAACAGGCUUAGAUACCCUGGGUAGUCCACCCCGUAAACGUUGGGAACUAGUUGUGGGGUCCAUUCCACGGAUUCCGUGACGCAGCUAACGCAUUAAGUUCCCCGCCUGGGGAGUACGGCCGCAAGGCUAAAACUCAAAGGAAUUGACGGGGACCCGCACAAGCGGCGGAGCAUGCCGGAUUAAUUCGAUGCAACGCGAAGAAACUUACCAAGGCUUGACAUAUACGAGAACGGGCCAGAAAUGGUCAACUCUUUGGGACACUCGUAAACAGGUGGUGCAUGGUUGUCGUCAGCUCGUGUCGUGAGAUGUUGGGUUAAGUCCCGCAACGAGCGCAACCCUCGUUCUAUGUUGCCAGCACGUAAUGGUGGGAACUCAUGGGAUACUGCCGGGGUCAACUCGGAGGAAGGUGGGGAUGACGUCAAAUCAUCAUGCCCCUUAUGUCUUGGGCUUCACGCAUGCUACAAUGGCCGGUACAAAGGGCUGCAAUACCGUGAGGUGGAGCGAAUCCCAAAAAGCCGGUCCCAGUUCGGAUUGAGGUCUGCAACUCGACCUCAUGAAGUCGGAGUCGCUAGUAAUCGC